ACAGCCUUCAAUUAAUCUUAUGUGAAUAAAUGCUUAAAUGAUAUCUGUACCAAAUCUUCCUGACUUGAUUAAAGAUAUCUUAAUAUAUGUUGCAAGAUAAAUUAAGUGAAUAGUUUUGUACUGUCAUGAUUAAUGCGUAAGGAAAUGCAUUGGUUUAUGCUGGUCCAUCCAUGAGGCAACCCAAAAUAAUUAAAUCAUUUCUGAAUUAUGCUUUGCUAUCUGUGACUAAUUUGUGUAAUCAGAAACAAAUAGUGACCAGAGGGCACAGGAAGCUUCAUCCCACAAUCUCCAACAGGAGCAACCCAUCACAAUCAUCCCUCUUUCCACAGGACGCUUUCAAUUUAUGCAAAUCUGCUGUUAUCCUCUAUGACACCUCAUUUCCUGCUGGCCUUUCAAAUCUUCCAGUCACUUUAAAUCUAUAUUGUUUAAUUCCAAGCGAUUAGUUUUUUUUCUUGCUCCUGAUUUCUAUUGUUUUACAGCUUUCUUUUUGGUUUCUUCCUCCCAAAAAGUCUCAUUGGCAGUAGAAAUUAUUUGAGUGUUGCAGGGUGCAAAUACAUCAAGACUAGAAGACGGCAAGAGUUGUGUAACUGCCAACCAUGAGAGGAGAGCCACCCUAACAAGGGGUGGUGCAAGUCAUGAGCUAUAAGUGUGGCUGAACAAGACAGUUUCACACAAUCACCUGCAGAUGAGACACAGACACUGGAAUAGCUUAGACUUGGACUUUUUUUGCAACAUGGAAUCAAGAACUACUCUGAUCUUCAUUUGUACCAUGUGGACAACUCUCCUAGAAGGAUGGGGGUUGCCUGUAGUGCCACAGACUGACCUGAAUGACCCGUCUGCAAACCAUAGGGUCAGGAGCAAACGUUGUUCCUGCAACAACCAGAUGGACUCCGAAUGCCACUAUUUCUGCCAUCUGGACAUCAUCUGGGUGAACACGCCAAGUAAGACCACUGUGUAUGGAUUGGGAAGUCCAUUGUCUCGUCGGAGGAGAUCUACAGGCCGCUGUUCAUGUGCUAACCCUGCGGAUCGAACGUGCAAAAGUUUCUGCCACUACAGCUCUGAAAACCCGGCCAUCAUACUGGUGCACCCAUCUCAGCCUGAACAUAAGAAACUGGAACAACCCAAAAUAGAUCACCCAAUCGCUCUCAACAGUGGAAAUGCCAGUCCUGAAGUUCAGAUUUUAGGGAAACCUUCUUCUUUUGGGGCUCGAUCUGAUGCCAUAACCUUCCUUGGGAACCUGGUUAGGGCUCGAGCCAGAGCCAUGGCAAAUACAUCUAAAGCCAGCAAACUUGGCUAUAGAUGAAGAUGUUACCUGACGGAGAGAUAAGAGUGCGAGCAUUUGAACAAAAAGAUGACCCUCGUGCAUCUUAGAGCAGCAGAACAUGUAAAAUACUCUGCGAUAUGGAAAUCUCGAGGACAGCCCUGUGGAAGCGGAGCCUUUGACACAUGUUUAGGACAGAAUGGGAGACAUGAAGAUGUUGAGGGCAAGUCAGGCCAGUUCACUAGGACUGCAGCGCAAAAGAGGGUUAGAAGUUAGCGACUGCUAACAGCAUGUUAUGCUAAGCCAGUUCAAAACAUCACAUUUGAGCAGUCAAGAGAUAAAGGAGACAGGUGAAGUGCUCAUGGAAAGUUAAAGGGAACUUGGAAGAGUAAAAAAAUGUACUACUUAUAUUAUUUAAUAGUACCACUGGAGCCAACUACGAGUACAUUUAAAACAGAGAAGGCGUGAUAGAAAUGUAAAAAAAAUACAAGGUGCGACAAAAGAUAGCCUAUAUUUGAGUUCAUUAAAUAUUUAUCUCAGAUAAACAAUAGAUUCAAACGGUGUCAUUUUGAAACUGCUGAUAUCUUGUUUUUUUUUCAACACCCAACCCAAGAGCAUUCCAGUUGGAAUGUUAUAUAAGGCUUUUAUCUAAAGUACAUACAGUAAAGAAACAAUAAAUAUGAAUAAUUGACAUUACAUUUUUUAUGAAUCAUUAGCUAUUCAACUCUAACAUAUUUAUUUAAGCAAUAUGUUUAUAAGCAAGCAGCACUAAGAUGAAUAAUUUCUUUCUGAAAAGGCACAUACAGGCUAGGAAGGCCAAAGUGAAAUAUGGCAUACAAUCGUGUUAAAAAUAUAUGCUCAAGUCAAAUGUGAAUAUACAAAGACUAUAUUCAUUCUGCUUAUUUACCUCUCAGGACAAUAGUUAUCUAUGUUUGGCAGGCACUUGUACUUGUACUUUUUAAUGGCAAGUGUACUUUGGCCUGAAGUUAUGCUUCUUGUUCUUUUUACAGAGCAGCCUAUUAGUUUUCUUCAUAAUUUUAAACACUGUUCUGAAACCUAAAAUGAAAAGCCAUAUAUAAAUAAACUAUAAGUACUCUAACUUAAAGUAUACUAGCAGUGUAAAAACACUGUAGAAUUAGCAGUUAUCGAGAGAGUGAUUUUAUAAGCUUGAAAAAUUUGAAAUAGACUACUUGUAUACAAAAAGAUCACUUCUAGUAUAGCAUAUAAACUAAUUGUGUACUGUUCUGUUUGACUUAAUGUACACAAAACUUAAAUUUAGUCUCAAGUAGUAUGCAUUUUAUCUGGACUGUGCCUUUGUUUUUCAUAUCCAUCUACAUUUAAUAAUCAUAUCCAUUCAUAAGUGAUGCAGACAGUUGUUAAACUGAUGUUUUUACCACAAGAUAUAGAAAAAAGAUUUAACCUUGCCAAAAAAGCAGGAGUACAUUGCUAUGUACUGAACUUCACUGAAACAUUUUAUAAUGCAAACAAUGCAAAAUGCACAAUAUGUUUACAAUUGAUUCUUGUUGUUAAAGUAUAUGUAUCGUUACUUUUUUUUAAUUUACAGCAUUUUAUUCUUAUAAUGAAGUUACUCUGUAGAAUUGUAGGAUUCUGAUCUGAUGUGAUUAAUCUUAUUGCAUAUAUUUUAGUUUUUGUGAUUCUGUCUGUAUGAUUAACAAAGAAUGCUAAUAAAUUCAUUUUGAGAACAUUUUGUACUUGUUCUGACCCUAAUUUUAUUUCUUUCUUCUGUCUCCCCGCAGU
Molecule: non-coding RNA, 3019 nt
Organism: Danio rerio (zebrafish)
Lineage: Eukaryota; Metazoa; Chordata; Actinopteri; Cypriniformes; Danionidae
Source: Ensembl